AUUUAUCGGUGAUGGAUGGGGAUGCGUCUGAUUAGCUUGUUGGCGGGGUAACGGCCCACCAAGGCGACGAUCAGUAGGGGUUCUGAGAGGAAGGUCCCCCACAUUGGAACUGAGACACGGUCCAAACUCCUACGGGAGGCAGCAGUGAGGAAUAUUGGUCAAUGGACGAGAGUCUGAACCAGCCAAGUAGCGUGCAGGAUGACGGCCCUAUGGGUUGUAAACUGCUUUUAUAAGGGAAUAAAGUUAGUCUCGUGAGACUUUUUGCAUGUACCUUAUGAAUAAGGACCGGCUAAUUCCGUGCCAGCAGCCGCGGUAAUACGGAAGGUCCGGGCGUUAUCCGGAUUUAUUGGGUUUAAAGGGAGCGUAGGCCGGAGAUUAAGCGUGUUGUGAAAUGUAGACGCUCAACGUCUGCACUGCAGCGCGAACUGGUUUCCUUGAGUACGCACAAAGUGGGCGGAAUUCGUGGUGUAGCGGUGAAAUGCUUAGAUAUCACGAAGAACUCCGAUUGCGAAGGCAGCUCACUGGAGCGCAACUGACGCUGAAGCUCGAAAGUGCGGGUAUCGAACAGGAUUAGAUACCCUGGUAGUCCGCACGGUAAACGAUGGAUGCCCGCUGUUGGUCUGAAUAGGUCAGCGGCCAAGCGAAAGCAUUAAGCAUCCCACCUGGGGAGUA
Molecule: ribosomal RNA, 672 nt
Filed under: uncultured bacterium
Lineage: Bacteria
Description: bacterial SSU rRNA
Rfam family: Bacterial small subunit ribosomal RNA
Source: RNAcentral